Oncorhynchus keta (chum salmon) is the source of this 424-nucleotide long non-coding RNA. RefSeq lists it as uncharacterized. NCBI's taxonomy places the organism in Eukaryota, Metazoa, Chordata, Actinopteri, Salmoniformes, Salmonidae. The transcript has 3 exons. The record is from RefSeq and is a predicted model, not a curated record.
CAUCAUAGUAGAUUCUUCAGCAUUUCAGGUGUCUAACAGAUUUAAGUAUUUUCACAUCACUAGCGUAGUUUUCUAAAUUGUCAGAGGGAUACUACCACUGUUUCUACAGUAUUUCAAUAAUACCACACUUCUUAUUCGGCGGAGAAAAUGUCGAGGCUGCAGGAACAACGAGCUUUGAUGACCUAUUUGAACGUGUUACUUCCCCUGAAGCUGUUCAAGUGUUGAAAGCCCGCGGCUAUCAACAUUUGGUCCUGCAGGUUGGACGAAGCUCCAUCUUCGCAGAUUCAGACAGCUGUCACAAGCUCACGUUUAGAGGCCUUUAAAUUCAAGGAUUCCACCGCUGAAGAUGUCAAAUGUGCCAAUCUGGAUAUCAGCCAUGAUGUUGUGUACAAUGUCCGAAGAAAUAAAAAAGCUAAACUACCAA